This 104-nucleotide non-coding RNA is filed under the name Platyophrya macrostoma. Lineage: Eukaryota; Ciliophora; Colpodea; Cyrtolophosidida; Platyophryidae. The record is from RNAcentral.
AGAAACGCACAAACCAGCACGACCAGCAAAAAUUGAAAGAAAGAAACACACAGCGCAAAGUUUUUUUUUUUUUUUUUUUGUUUGUUGUUUGUCACUUCUCUCUU